Molecule: ribosomal RNA, 433 nt
Filed under: uncultured bacterium
Lineage: Bacteria
Description: partial 16S ribosomal RNA
Rfam family: Bacterial small subunit ribosomal RNA
Source: RNAcentral
AGCGAACGCUGGCGGCAGGCCUAACACAUGCAAGUCGAACGGAUCCUUCGGGAUUAGUGGCGGACGGGUGAGUAACACGUGGGAACGUGCCCUUUGGUUCGGAACAACUCAGGGAAACUUGAGCUAAUACCGGAUGUGCCCUUCGGGGGAAAGAUUUAUCGCCAUUGGAGCGGCCCGCGUCUGAUUAGCUAGUUGGUGAGGUAACGGCCCACCAAGGCGACGAUCAGUAGCUGGUCUGAGAGGAUGAUCAGCCACACUGGGACUGAGACACGGCCCAGACUCCUACGGGAGGCAGCAGUGGGGAAUCUUGCGCAAUGGGCGAAAGCCUGACGCAGCCAUGCCGCGUGAAUGAUGAAGGUCUUAGGAUUGUAAAAUUCUUUCAGCGGGGACGAUAAUGACGGUACCCGCAGAAGACGCUCCGGCUAACUUCGUG